Molecule: ribosomal RNA, 735 nt
Filed under: Glaesserella parasuis
Lineage: Bacteria; Pseudomonadati; Pseudomonadota; Gammaproteobacteria; Pasteurellales; Pasteurellaceae
Description: bacterial SSU rRNA
Rfam family: Bacterial small subunit ribosomal RNA
Source: RNAcentral
GGGUGGUGUUUUAAUAGAGCAUUACAUUGACGUUAGUCACAGAAGAAGCACCGGCUAACUCCGUGCCAGCAGCCGCGGUAAUACGGAGGGUGCGAGCGUUAAUCGGAAUGACUGGGCGUAAAGGGCACGCAGGCGGUGACUUAAGUGAGAUGUGAAAGCCCCGAGCUUAACUUGGGAAUUGCAUUUCAUACUGGGUGGCUAGAGUAUUUUAGGGAGGGGUAGAAUUCCACGUGUAGCGGUGAAAUGCGUAGAGAUGUGGAGGAAUACCGAAGGCGAAGGCAGCCCCUUGGGAAAAUACUGACGCUCAUGUGCGAAAGCGUCCCGUAGCUAACGUGAUAAAUCGACCGCCUGGGGAGUACGGCCGCAAGGUUAAAACUCAAAUGAAUUGACGGGGGCCCGCACAAGCGGUGGAGCAUGUGGUUUAAUUCGAUGCAACGCGAAGAACCUUACCUACUCUUGACAUCCUAAGAAGCUUUCAGAGAUGAGAGUGUGCCUUCGGGAACUUAGAGACAGGUGCUGCAUGGCUGUCGUCAGCUCGUGUUGUGAAAUGUUGGGUUAAGUCCCGCAACGAGCGCAACCCUUAUCCUUUGUUGCCAGCGAUUCGGUCGGGAACUCAAAGGAGACUGCCAGUGAUAAACUGGAGGAAGGUGGGGAUGACGUCAAGUCAUCAUGGCCCUUACGAGUAGGGCUACACACGUGCUACAAUGGUGCAUACAGAGGGUGACGAAGCCAAUC